GCGUCUGCCGUGAAAGUCCGGGGCUUAACUCCGGAUCUGCGGUGGGUACGGGCAGACUAGAGUGCAGUAGGGGAGACUGGAAUUCCUGGUGUAGCGGUGAAAUGCGCAGAUAUCAGGAGGAACACCGAUGGCGAAGGCAGGUCUCUGGGCUGUAACUGACGCUGAGGAGCGAAAGCAUGGGGAGCGAACAGGAUUAGAUACCCUGGUAGUCCAUGCCGUAAACGUUGGGCACUAGGUGUGGGGGACAUUCCACGUUUUCCGCGCCGUAGCUAACGCAUUAAGUGCCCCGCCUGGGGAGUACGGCCGCAAGGCUAAAACUCAAAGGAAUUGACGGGGGCCCGCACAAGCGGCGGAGCAUGCGGAUUAAUUCGAUGCAACGCGAAGAACCUUACCAAGGCUUGACAUGAACCGGAAUGAUGCAGAGAUGUGUCAGCCACUUGUGGCCGGUUUACAGGUGGUGCAUGGUUGUCGUCAGCUCGUGUCGUGAGAUGUUGGGUUAAGUCCCGCAACGAGCGCAACCCUCGUUCCAUGUUGCCAGCGGGUUAUGCCGGGGACUCAUGGGAGACUGCCGGGGUCAACUCGGAGGAAGGUGGGGACGACGUCAAAUCAUCAUGCCCCUUAUGUCUUGGGCUUCACGCAUGCUACAAUGGCCGGUACAAAGGGUUGCGAUACUGUGAGGUGGAGCUAAUCCCAAAAAGCCGGUCUCAGUUCGGAUUGAGGUCUGCAACUCGACCUCAUGAAGUUGGAGUCGCUAGUAAUCGCAGAUCAGCAACGCUGCGGUGAAUACGUUCCCGGGCCUUGUACACACCGCCCGUCAAGUCACGAAAGUUGGUAACACCCGAAGCCGGUGGCCUAACCCCUUGUGGGAGGGAGCCGUCGAAGGUGGGACCGGCGAUUGGGACU
RNAcentral lists this ribosomal RNA (903 nucleotides) under Arthrobacter agilis. RNAcentral's name for it is "bacterial SSU rRNA". It matches the Rfam family "Bacterial small subunit ribosomal RNA", at positions 585 to 1482 of the family's 1533-position model. The record is from RNAcentral. Lineage: Bacteria; Bacillati; Actinomycetota; Actinomycetes; Micrococcales; Micrococcaceae.